AUUCCCCUAGUAACUGCGAGUGAAGCGGGAAGAGCUCAAAUUUAAAAUCUGGCGGCCUUGCCGUCCGAGUUGUAAUUUAGAGAAGCGUUUUCCGCGUCGGACCGUGUACAAGUCUCCUGGAACGGAGCGUCAUAGAGGGUGAGAAUCCCGUCUUUGACACGGACCCCCCGGUGCUCUGUGAUACGCUCUCGAAGAGUCGAGUUGUUUGGGAAUGCAGCUCAAAAUGGGUGGUGAACUCCAUCUAAAGCUAAAUAUUGGCGAGAGACCGAUAGCGAACAAGUACCGUGAGGGAAAGAUGAAAAGCACUUUGGAAAGAGAGUGAAACAGUACGUGAAAUUGCUGAAAGGGAAACGCUUGAAGUCAGUCGCGUCCGCCGGAAUUCAGCCUUCAUGGUGUACUUUCUGACGGACGGGCCAGCAUCACUUUUGAUCGCCGGAAAAGGGCAGAGGGAAUGUGGCACCUCCGGGUGUGUGUAUAGCCCCCUGUCGUAUACGGUGGUUGGGAGUGAGGACCCCUAUCUUUUGUAGGAUGCUGGCGUAAUGGCUUUAAACGACCCGUCUUGAAACACGGACCAAGGAGUCUAACAUGCCCGCGAGUGUUCGGGUGGAAAACCCGUGCGCGUAAUGAAAGUGAAAGUUGGGAAGGCUGUCGUGGCCUGCACCGACGCCCGGACCCGAGAUUUAUCAAAGGUUCUGCGGUAGAGCGUGUAUGUUGGGACCCGAAAGAUGGUGAACUAUGCCUGAAUAGGGUGAAGCCAGAGGAAACUCUGGUGGAGGCUCGUAGCGAUUCUGACGUGCAAAUCGAUCGUCAAAUUUGGGUAUAGGGGCGAAAGACUAAUCGAACCAU
Molecule: ribosomal RNA, 846 nt
Filed under: Vararia sp. CFMR HHB15837-T
Lineage: Eukaryota; Fungi; Basidiomycota; Agaricomycetes; Russulales; Lachnocladiaceae
Description: eukaryotic LSU rRNA
Rfam family: Eukaryotic large subunit ribosomal RNA
Source: RNAcentral